RNAcentral lists this ribosomal RNA (468 nucleotides) under uncultured bacterium. RNAcentral describes it as "partial 16S ribosomal RNA". It matches the Rfam family "Bacterial small subunit ribosomal RNA", at positions 28 to 507 of the family's 1533-position model. The record is from RNAcentral.
GACGAACGCUGGCGGCGUGCUUAACACAUGCAAGUCGAACGGAAAGGCCCUGCUUUUGUGGGGUGCUCGAGUGGCGAACGGGUGAGUAACACGUGAGUAACCUGCCCUUGACUUUGGGAUAACUUCAGGAAACUGGGGCUAAUACCGGAUAGGAGCUCCUGCUGCAUGGUGGGGGUUGGAAAGUUUCGGCGGUUGGGGAUGGACUCGCGGCUUAUCAGCUUGUUGGUGGGGUAGUGGCUUACCAAGGCUUUGACGGGUAGCCGGCCUGAGAGGGUGACCGGCCAAAUUGGGACUGAGAUACGGCCCAGACUCCUACGGGAGGCAGCAGUGGGGAAUAAUGCACAAUGGGCGGAAGCCUGAUGCAGCAACGCCGGGUGCGGGAUGACGGCCUUCGGGUUUUAAACCGCUUUCGCCUGUGACGAAGCGUGAGUGACGGUAAUGGGUAAAGAAGCAACGGCUAACUACGUG